Molecule: ribosomal RNA, 332 nt
Filed under: uncultured Pseudomonas sp.
Lineage: Bacteria; Pseudomonadati; Pseudomonadota; Gammaproteobacteria; Pseudomonadales; Pseudomonadaceae
Description: bacterial SSU rRNA
Rfam family: Bacterial small subunit ribosomal RNA
Source: RNAcentral
CGUCAGCUCGUGUCGUGAGAUGUUGGGUUAAGUCCCGUAACGAGCGCAACCCUGUCCUUAGUUACCAGCACGUUAUGGUGGGCACUCUAAGGAGAACUGCCGGUGGACAAACCGGAGGAAGGUGGGGGAUGACGUCAAGUCAUCAUGGCCCUUACGGCCUGGGCUACACACGUGCUACAAUGGUCGGUACAAAGGGUUGCCAAGCCGCGAGGUGGAGCUAAUCCCAUAAAACCGAUCGUAGUCCGGAUCGCAGUCUGCAACUCGACUGCGUGAAGUCGGAAUCGCUAGUAAUCGUGAAUCAGAAUGUCACGGUGAAUACGUUCCCGGGCCUU